This 211-nucleotide ribosomal RNA is filed under the name uncultured bacterium. Its description in RNAcentral is "partial 16S ribosomal RNA". It matches the Rfam family "Bacterial small subunit ribosomal RNA", at positions 524 to 734 of the family's 1533-position model. The record is from RNAcentral.
UACGUAGGAUGCAAGCGUUGUCCGGAAUUAUUGGGCGUAAAGAGCGCGCAGGCGGUCUGACAAGUCAGAUGUGAAAGAAGCCGGCUUAACCGGCAAGGGUCAUUUGAAACUGACAGACUAGAGUGCACAAGAGGAUAGUGGAAUUCCCGGUGUAGUGGUGAAAUGCGUAGAUAUCGGGAGGAACACCAGUGGCGAAGGCGACUAUCUGGGG